AGUAGAAUGACUUACAUUAUUUAUUUACACUACAUCACCAGUUCAUUACUUUACUAGAAGAUGACAUAAGUUUUUUAGGAUAAAUCAGUCGGUCAUUACAACAUAUUACAACAAGUCAUACAACUAGUUAAGUAUUUUUCCACCUACCUCUACCGAAAGUAUACUUUUCCGGACCUGAUUGUAUGGAGCAAAGUUGUACUUUUCCUCCCUAGGGAGGAAAAGUAAAAGUGACCAUAAUGAUCAUGGUAUUUCAUUCAUGAAAUAUAACUUAUUGACGCCCUGGACAAUAUCUAUUUUCUAUUACAAGAUGGUGUGAGGUGCCCACAGUGCAAUAAAGUUUACAAGUAUAAAAGAAACCUUUGGAGGCACCAAAAAUUUGAAUGUGGGAUUGAAGUAAAGAAUUUCCCUUGUCCUGUUUGUGAGAAAGCUUUCACGUACCGAAGUACUCUACGGGUUCACAUGGCGGUUAUACACGAUCAGAUUGAUUGUAAAUAAAAUAAAUACUUUGUUAAAUAAAAGUCAUAAUCCAUA
Molecule: long non-coding RNA, 531 nt
Organism: Diabrotica virgifera virgifera (western corn rootworm)
Lineage: Eukaryota; Metazoa; Arthropoda; Insecta; Coleoptera; Chrysomelidae
Exons: 2
Source: RefSeq, a predicted model, not a curated record